UACCACAUCUAAGGAAGGCAGCAGGCGCGCAAAUUACCCAAUUCUAACAGUUUGAGAGAGGUAGUAACAAGAAAUAACAAUACAAGGCAAUUAAAAUGCUUUGUAAUUGGAAUGAUAGAAAUUUAAACCCUUUUUAAAGUAUCAAUUGGAGGGCAAGUCUGGUGCCAGCAGCCGCGGUAAUUCCAGCUCCAAUAGCGUAUAUUAAAAUUGUUGCAGUUAAAAAGCUCGUAGUUGAAAUUCUGCUAAAAGUAACCGGUCUGCUUUUAAUAAAAGUGGUAUCUUGGUGUGUAUUUAGCAAUGAUGUCCUUUGAAGUGUUUUUUACUUUAUUGUAAUAAAGCAUAUUCAGGACUUUUACUUUGAGAAAAUUAGAGUGUUUCUAGCAGGCUGACGCUUUGAAUACUGCAGCAUGGAAUAAUAAGAUAGGAUUUUAGUUCUACGUUAUUGGUUUUAAGAGCUAAWUUAAUGAUUGAUAGGGACAGUUGGGGGCAUUUGUAUUUAACUGUCAGAGGUGAA
Molecule: ribosomal RNA, 514 nt
Filed under: Hepatozoon sp. JPM-2014
Lineage: Eukaryota; Apicomplexa; Hepatozoidae
Description: bacterial SSU rRNA
Rfam family: Eukaryotic small subunit ribosomal RNA
Source: RNAcentral